This is a long non-coding RNA of Coregonus clupeaformis (lake whitefish), 369 nucleotides long. RefSeq lists it as uncharacterized. The transcript has 4 exons. The record is from RefSeq and is a predicted model, not a curated record. Lineage: Eukaryota; Metazoa; Chordata; Actinopteri; Salmoniformes; Salmonidae.
CGCACGCUCUGUAGCGAGAUUGAUUUGGUUGUCCCGGCGACGACUGGUAAUGUGCGUAGCCGGGUAGCCUUUGAAAUAUGCACAGCCUUUGGCAGGAAAAAAACUCAUUUGGGAGAGUAAAAGUCUCCCAACUUGAAGUUGUGGGCACAAAGACGUAUGAAUGCCACCAAGGGAAAGACAGACAAACAAAAGCCAAAGAUAAAUAUGCUGCUGAAAUGAACAUGAAGGCACUCUUCCUGGUUCCUCUUCUCUUGCUUCUCCAGGACUGUUUUCUUGAGCGUCUAAAAAAGUGACAUUUGUCGACAACCAUCCACCUCCCCACCACCACCAGCUAUAAUAACCGGCAGGGGGUUUGGUUUCCGAUGCCAG